Psammomys obesus (fat sand rat) is the source of this 557-nucleotide long non-coding RNA. RefSeq lists it as uncharacterized. The transcript has 2 exons. The record is from RefSeq and is a predicted model, not a curated record. NCBI's taxonomy places the organism in Eukaryota, Metazoa, Chordata, Mammalia, Rodentia, Muridae.
UGCGGAGCUGCUUCCACCCGGGGGAAGAGCCCGCGCGCUUCGUCCCGAGGGGAGCGUGGAUUAUGUAGCGCGGCCGGGAGGCGCCGCGGAGCCCCCAGUUAGGGCUCCAGACUUUAAACAUCUCUCCCGGGGCUCCCCCCGGCGGAGGCUGGGCCCAGGCCGGCGUGCAGCCGCGGGGUGGGCGGGGUGGAGGGUGCAGGCUGGCGCGGUGCCCAGGCUUCGGUGUGCAAGCACCACACGAGGCCAGCCGCGUAAACUGAGUUGUAUUGCUCUUUUUUUUCCCCCCUACCCAGAAAAUGAAACACAGCCGCCAGCGGCUGGACGAAAGCACCUGAGAGCUCCCUUCUCCUCUGAGGAGAGUUUCAACCGACUUCAGCUUGAGUGAUCCAGGUCAUUUGGCUAGAAGAUUUGCCUGUGCACUGAAUGAGAACCUAGCCCUGCCGUGUGCCCCUGGACCUGGUGGGCUGGACUCUGACACGCCUUUUGGGCCUUCAGUGGCUGAAGGCCGCCCUGCUUGGCGGCUGUGAAUAAAAGGAGCUCCCCACACUUGGCCGAGA